Molecule: ribosomal RNA, 241 nt
Filed under: uncultured Actinomycetales bacterium
Lineage: Bacteria; Bacillati; Actinomycetota; Actinomycetes; Actinomycetales
Description: partial 16S ribosomal RNA
Rfam family: Bacterial small subunit ribosomal RNA
Source: RNAcentral
ACUCGAGUGGCGAACGGGUGAGUAACACGUGGGUGAUCUGCCCUGCACUCCGGGAUAAGCCUGGGAAACUGGGUCUAAUACCGGAUAGGAGCCAUUUUUAGUGUGAUGGUUGGAAAGUUUUUCGGUGUAGGAUGAGCUCGCGGCCUAUCAGCUUGUUGGUGGGGUAAUGGCCUACCAAGGCGGCGACGGGUAGCCGGCCUGAGAGGGUGGACGGCCACAUUGGGACUGAGAUACGGCCCAG